UACCUGGUCGAUCCUGCCAAUAGUCAUUUGCUUGUCUCAAAGAUUAAACCAUGCAUGUCUAAGUAUGAACUAAUUAAGACUGUGAAACUACGAAUGGCUCAUUAAAUCAAUUAUAGUUUCUUUGAUGGUACCCUACUACUCGGAUAACCAUAGUAAUUCUAGAGCUAAUACGUGCACCAAGUCCUGACUCUUUGGAAGGGAUGCAUUUAUUAGAUAAAAGGUCGGCAUGGGCUUGCCCGCUUCUUCGGUGAAUCAUGAUAACUCGACGAAUCACACAACCCUUUUGUUGGCGAUGCUUCAUUUGAAUUUUUGCCCUAACAACUUUUGAUGGUAGGAUAGAGGCCUAUCAUGGUGGUGACGGGUGACGAAGAAUCAAGGUUCGAUUCUGGAGAGAGAGCCUGAGAAACGACUACCACAUCCAAGGAAGGAAGCAGGCGCACAAAUUACCCAAUCCUGGCAUGGGGAGGUAGUGACAAUAAAUAAAAAUACUGGGCUCAUCAAGUCUGGUAAUUGGAAUGAGUACAAUCUAAAUCCCUUAACGAAGAUCCAUUGAGGGGAAAGUAUGGUGCUAGCAGCUGCGGUAAUUCUAGCUCCAAUAGCGUAUAUUUAAGUUGUUGCAGUUAAAAAGCUCGUAGUUGGAUCUUGGGUCAUAAAGGUAGGUCUUCCUACUCGGUGUGCACCUGCCCUUCUGUCCCUUUUGUCGGCGGCGUGCUCCUGGGCUUAAUUGGUUGGGUCGCGGUUUCAACGUUGUUACUUUGAAAAAAUUAGAGUGCUCAAAGCAAGAUUAUGCUCUGAAUACAUUAGCAUGGAAUAACACGAUAGGAGUUUGGUCAUAUUGUGUUGGCCUUCGGGACCGAAGUAAUGAUUAAUAGGGAUUGUCGGGGGCAUUCGUAUUUCAUUGUCAGAGGUGAAAUUCUUGGAUUUAUGAAAGACGAACCACUGUGAAAUCAUUUUCCAAGGAUUUUUUCAUCAAUCAAGAACGAAAAUCGGGGCCUCGAAGACAAUCAGAUACCGUCCUAGUCUCAACCAUAAACGAUGUCAAUGAGGGAUCGACAGAUGUUGCUCUAAGGACUCUGCCAACACCUUCUAAGAAAUCAGAGUGUUUAGGUUCCGGGGGGGGUAUGGUCGCGAGGUUGAAACUUAAAGGAAUUGACAGAAGAGCACCACUAGGAGUGGAGACUACGGCUUAAUUUGACUCAACACGGGAAAGCUUACCAGGUCCAGACAUAGUAAGGAGAUACAUAUUGAGAGCUCUUUCUUGAUUCUAUGGGUGGUGGUGCAUGGUUGUUCUUAGUUGGUGGAGCGAUUUGUCUGGUUAAUUCUGAUAACAAACGAUACCUCAGCCUGCUAACUAGCUACGCGAAGGUUCCCCCCCACGGCCAGCUUCUUAGAGGUACUAUGGUUGUUUAGGCAAUAACAAGUCUGUGAUUCCCUUAGAUGUUCUGGGCCGCACACGCGCUACACUGAUGCAAUCAACGAUUUUUUCUCCCUGGUUUAAGAGGAUCGGGAAAUCUUCUUAAACUACAUCGUAAUGGGUAUAGACCAUUGCAAUUAUUAGUCUUCAACGAGGAAUUCCUAGUAAGCGUGUGUCGUCAGAUCGUGUUGACUACGUCCCUGUGCUUUGUACACACCGCAUGUCGCUCCUACCGAUUGAAUGAUCCGGUGAAGUGUUCAGAUCACGUCAACGAGGGUGGUUCGUCGCCGACGAUGUCGUGAGAAGUUCACUGAACCUUAUCAUUUAGAGGAAGGAGAAGUCGUAACCAAGUUACUGUAGGUGAACCUGUGGUAGGAUCAUUG
Non-coding RNA from Picea glauca (white spruce), 1797 nucleotides. Lineage: Eukaryota; Viridiplantae; Streptophyta; Pinopsida; Pinales; Pinaceae. The record is from Rfam.